CGGCCACGGCAAAGGUUCGAAACGGCUGGUUCGGCGGCUCGGACGCGGCGGGACAAAUGAAACGGAAGCUGUGGAGCAUCAGAACCAGAAACAGAACCAGAACCUCUAGACUCCAUCUGCAUCUCAGUGAAGAUCAGCUUCUUUUAGAAUUGCAGCCAAUGAUGCAGAGGUAUUCCUUGCAGCAUGAGGUGGUGCAUUGCCGUGCAUGAAGAUGAUUUUGUUCCAGAAAGCACAGUUCUUCUUUUUGUACCAUGGAAGAAAGUGGUCAGUCAGAAACUCCACAUACUUUGCAGAGGUCAUUUUCACACCUUCAGGGACCCUAAAGGGGCCGACCAGCUCUCUCCCCAUGAUUCCGGCCCAAAACAUGACUCCGCCUCCUCCUUGCUGACGUCGCGGCCUUGUUGGGACAUGGUGGCCAUCCACCAACCGUCCAC
Long non-coding RNA from Amphiprion ocellaris (clown anemonefish), 434 nucleotides. Lineage: Eukaryota; Metazoa; Chordata; Actinopteri; Pomacentridae. The record is from Ensembl.